CUGCGAAUGGCUCAUUAAAUCAGUUAUCGUUUAUUUGAUAGUACCUUACUACUUGGAUAACCGUGGUAAUUCUAGAGCUAAUACAUGCUAAAAACCUCGACUUCGGAAGGGGUGUAUUUAUUAGAUAAAAAACCAAUGCCCUUCGGGGCUCCUUGGUGAUUCAUAAUAACUUAACGAAUCGCAUGGCCUUGCGCCGGCGAUGGUUCAUUCAAAUUUCUGCCCUAUCAACUUUCGAUGGUAGGAUAGUGGCCUACCAUGGUAUCAACGGGUAACGGGGAAUUAGGGUUCUAUUCCGGAGAGGGAGCCUGAGAAACGGCUACCACAUCCAAGGAAGGCAGCAGGCGCGCAAAUUACCCAAUCCCGACGCGGGGAGGUAGUGACAAUAAAUACUGAUACAGGGCUCUUUUGGGUCUUGUAAUUGGAAUGAGUACAAUUUAAAUCCCUUAACGAGGAACAAUUGGAGGGCAAGUCUGGUGAACACUCAGCUAGUUCCAUUCUGCUGACGCCAGAGAUAGUAGGGCCCCGCCUUUGUACGGGCGGGGUUAUGCCUGCUAGUCGAUGCAUCCACAAACAGCGAUGGGUGGAUGCCGGCAAGGUGACCUGGUACGGGGAAGCCUAAGGGCGCGACUUUCUAAAGGGAUGGUCGAGCACGCCUAUGGUAAUCCCGUGGCGAGCCGGAGCAAUCCGGCCGUCGUAACGCGCGGAAAGGCACCGGCUGUCGCGGAGAACGCGAUGGCUCAAGGGACGUGCUGUCCCAUCCGAAAGGAUGCCUCAUACUGGAGCGCCCAUCGCGUAAAGUAUUNAGAGGGGGGGGCUUCAGAGCCCCUGGGUAAUGAUAAAACGGCCAGCAGCCGCGGUAAUUCCAGCUCCAAUAGCGUAUAUUAAAGUUGUUGCAGUUAAAAAGCCCGUAGUUGAACCUUGGGUCUGGCUGACCGGUCCGCCUCACCGCGUGCACUGGUUCGGCCGGACCUUUCCUUCUGGGGAUCCGCAUGCCCUUCACUGGGCGUGUCGGGGAACCAGGACUUUUACUUUGAAAAAAUUAGAGUGUUCAAAGCAGGCCUUUGCUCGAAUACAUUAGCAUGGAAUAAUAGAAUAGGACGUGCGGUUCUAUUUUGUUGGUUUCUAGGACCGCCGUAAUGAUUAAUAGGGAUAGUCGGGGGUAUCAGUAUUCAAUUGUCAGAGGUGAAAUUCUUGGAUUUAUUGAAGACUAACUACUGCGAAAGCAUUUACCAAGGAUGUUUUCAUUAAUCAGUGAACGAAAGUUAGGGGAUCGAAGACGAUCAGAUACCGUCGUAGUCUUAACCGUAAACGAUGCCGACUAGGGAUCGGGCGAUGUUAUCAUUUUGACUCGCUCGGCACCUUACGAGAAAUCAAAGUUUUUGGGUUCUGGGGGGAGUAUGGUCGCAAGGCUGAAACUUAAAGAAAUUGACGGAAGGGCACCACCAGGCGUAAACCUUUGCAAGCUAGCCGCAGCAACUCUGCGCCGAACAGCAGCCCGAAAGGGUGAGGUGGUCUAAAUGCCCGGGGGCGAAACCCCCCCGAACCAAAAUGCUAGUCCGCCUAUUCACAGGCGGGCGACACGCUCAAACUGCGGGAAAACCCUAAAGCUCCAGCACACCAAGCCGGCGUCGAAAGGCAGUCGGUGGCCAGGUUAAUUGCCUCGGGUAUGGUAAAAGCGGCUGGAGAUGAACAAUGGGCGAUCCGCAUCCAAGCUCCUAACCCUCGCGAGAGGUACGGAGAAGGUUCAGAGACUAAAUGGGUGUGGGUCCCCUCCCGCGAGGGAGGGGGUCUAAGAUAUAGUCCGGCCACCGCUGAAAGGCGGUGGGGUCAGGCACUCCUUGACAUACAAACGGGAGCCUGCGGCUUAAUUUGACUCAACACGGGGAAACUCACCAGGUCCAGACACAGUGAGGAUUGACAGAUUGAGAGCUCUUUCUUGAUUUUGUGGGUGGUGGUGCAUGGCCGUUCUUAGUUGGUGGAGUGAUUUGUCUGCUUAAUUGCGAUAACGAACGAGACCUUAACCUGCUAAAUAGCCAGGCCAGCUUUGGCUGGUCGCCGGCUUCUUAGAGGGACUAUCGGCUCAAGCCGAUGGAAGUUU
This 2098-nucleotide ribosomal RNA is filed under the name Wiesneriomyces laurinus. RNAcentral's name for it is "partial 18S ribosomal RNA". It matches the Rfam family "Eukaryotic small subunit ribosomal RNA", at positions 87 to 1446 of the family's 1831-position model. The record is from RNAcentral. Lineage: Eukaryota; Fungi; Ascomycota; Dothideomycetes; Tubeufiales; Wiesneriomycetaceae.